UCUCUCUGAAUCUGCGAACGGCUCCGCAAACCAGUUGUAAACCACAGCAGCCUGCAACGGUUGGACCUCGGUCUGGCCCGCGCGAUACGGAUAACCCUGGUAAUUCUAAGGCUAAUACGUGUAUGGAACACCCGGUGGACCGGCUUCGGCUGGGAAACCGGGAGACGAGUGAUGGAAUGUUUGGAUUACCAGGAACGGGCACUCGCCUUGACCGCGCUACAAAGGAUGAACCUUCGGGGGACUCCCAGCGGCUCUUGCGCGGUGCUUCUGACCUAUCAACUAGACGGCAGCGUAAAGGACAUGCUAUGGUUACAACGGGUACAGAGGAUUAGGGUUCGAUCCUGGAGAGUGGGCCUGAGAGAUUGAGC
This 368-nucleotide ribosomal RNA is filed under the name uncultured myxomycete. RNAcentral's name for it is "bacterial SSU rRNA". It matches the Rfam family "Eukaryotic small subunit ribosomal RNA", at positions 76 to 407 of the family's 1831-position model. Lineage: Eukaryota; Evosea; Eumycetozoa. The record is from RNAcentral.